UACGAAGGGGGCUAGCGUUGCUCGGAAUCACUGGGCGUAAAGCGCGCGUAGGCGGACUCUUAAGUCGGUGGUGAAAUCCUGGAGCUCAACUCCAGAACUGCCUUCGAUACUGAGAGUCUCGAGUCCGAGAGAGGUGAGUGGAACUGCGAGUGUAGAGGUGAAAUUCGUAGAUAUUCGCAAGAACACCAGUGGCGAAGGCGGCUCACUGGCUCGGUACUGACGCUGAGGUGCGAAAGCGUGGGGAGCAAACAGG
This 253-nucleotide ribosomal RNA is filed under the name uncultured bacterium. RNAcentral's name for it is "partial 16S ribosomal RNA". It matches the Rfam family "Bacterial small subunit ribosomal RNA", at positions 524 to 776 of the family's 1533-position model. The record is from RNAcentral.